AGAAUCAACGCUGGCGGCGCGCCUAACACAUGCAAGUCGAACGAGAAAGUCGGAGCAAUCCGGUGAGUAAAGUGGCGUACGGGUGAGUAACACGUGGAUCAUCUACCUCUUAGUGUGGAAUAACCAUGGGAAACCGUGGCUAAUACCGCAUAAGUCCGUGAGGAGAAAGCAGCAAUGCGCUGAGAAAGGAGUCCGCGGCCGAUUAGCUAGUUGGCAGGGUAAAAGCCUACCAAGGCAGAGAUCGGUAGCCGGCCUGAGAGGGCACACGGCCACACUGGCACUGAAACACGGGCCAGACUCCUACGGGAGGCAGCAGUGGGGAAUCUUGCACAAUGGGGGAAACCCUGAUGCAGCGACGCCGCGUGAGCGAUGAAGCCCUUCGGGGUGUAAAGCUCUUUCGGCAGGGAAGAUAGUGACGGUACCUGCAGAAGCAGCUGCGGCUAACUACGUGCCAGCAGCCGCGGUAAUACGUAGGCAGCGAGCGUUGUUCGGAGUUACUGGGCGUAAAGGGUGUGUAGGCGGUCGCCUAAGUUUGGUGUGAAAUCUCCCGGCUCAACCGGGAGGGUGCGCCGAAUACUGAGUGACUAGAGUGUGGGAGAGGAAAGUGGAAUUCCUGGUGUAGCGGUGAAAUGCGUAGAUAUCAGGAGGAACACCGGCGGUGUAGACGGCU
RNAcentral lists this ribosomal RNA (670 nucleotides) under uncultured bacterium. Its description in RNAcentral is "bacterial SSU rRNA". It matches the Rfam family "Bacterial small subunit ribosomal RNA", at positions 26 to 726 of the family's 1533-position model. The record is from RNAcentral.